RNAcentral lists this unclassified non-coding RNA (330 nucleotides) under soil metagenome. RNAcentral's name for it is "partial contains 5.8S ribosomal RNA, internal transcribed spacer 2, and large subunit ribosomal RNA". The stretch from base 1 to 120 matches the Rfam family "5.8S ribosomal RNA", at positions 35 to 154 of the family's 154-position model. The record is from RNAcentral.
GAUGAAGAACGUAGCGAAAUGCGAUAAGUAAUGUGAAUUGCAGAAUUCAGUGAAUCAUCGAAUCUUUGAACGCACAUUGCGCCCUCUGGUAUUCCGGGGGGCAUGCCUGUUCGAGCGUCAUUACAACCCUCAAGCUUUGCUUGGUAUUGGACAUUGCCAGUUUCUGGCAGGUCUUAAAAUCAGUGGCGGUGCCAUUUGGCUUCAAGCGUAGUAAUUCUUCUCGCUUUGGAGAUCCAGGUGGUUACUUGCCAAUAACCCCCAAUAUUUUCAGGUUGACCUCGGAUCAGGUAGGGAUACCCGCUGAACUUAAGCAUAUCAAUAAGCGGAGGA